UUCAAAAAAAAAUAUGGCAUUAUUUGACUGUUGUUGCUGUGAUGGUGGUGCUUUAAAUAGAUUCAGCUUCUAUUUUUAUUAAAUUGAUUUUGCUGUCAAUGGGGGAUUUGUGAAAGUGUGAUGUAUGAUGAUGGUUUCAAAUUAUGAAAGUCUGAACCUUUUUUUCAAAUUAUGUGAUUGAAUGGAGCUACUAUGGCAUUGGAUGAUGAAUUCUGACAGAUUCUAACAGUUGUGCUUGAGGUGAUGGAUGAUUCAGAUUCCUCAAUCAAAGAGCUUGCUCUUUCAAUGCUUGUUGAAAUGCUUAAAAAUCAGAAAGAUGCCAUGAAAAGUUCAGUCGAAAUUGUUAUUGAAAAGCUGCUUAAUGUAACAAAGGAUAGAGUUCUUAAGGUAUCCAGCAUUAUGAUGUUCAUGUUUGUCUUCUUGUUAAUUCUUCUCCUAAUUUAAGCAAAUUUCGUCCUGUUUUCAAGUCUCAAAUGAAGCAGAGCACUGUCUUUGUCACUGGUAAUGCUAAUGGGACUGUCUUUGUCACUGGAAGCUCUGAUAAUCUUGCUAGGGUACAUAUCUCUUGAUACAUACAUCAUACAUGUCUGAAUAUAAAAAUAUCUCUUAUUUCCUCUAUCAUAUAUUUGAAUGCCAUAUUGUAUAGGCUUUAAUGGUCAUCAUAUGCUAACAAGACAGCCUCAAAACUAAAAUUUACUAUAGAAAUAACUUGUGAGGUGUUUGAUCGUUUUCCAUUUAUAAGAGUACCCAUGAGUGUUUAGCUUUGCAUAUUAAGUAGCUUCAAAGAAGUUUACAAUCAAGAUGUUUAAUGCUCACAGAGACAGAGGAAGAGAAAGAAAGAAAAGAACCCAUAGAAAAAAAAAAGAGGGGGGAAAGGGCUUUAGGUUUCCUUUAAUUAAACCAAUCAUGUAUUUAAUGAAAUGGAUUUUCAGCUUUACAAUUUGUUAUCUAACUUCAAGGUUUUACAGGUCUGGAAUGCUUGUAAACCAAGUGUGGAUGAUACUGAACAGCCAAAUCACGAGAUAGAUGUGUUAUCUGGCAUGAAAAUGAUGUAAACUAUGUGCAAUUUAGUGGAUGUGCAGUAGCAUCUCGGUUUUCCACAUCUCGGCCUGUGCGUCACUUGGCAUCAGUUGCAAGGCAAAGAUCAUAUCCAAGGGAGAUGGAAUAUUUGUUUAUGCUAGAGCAAGUAGCCUUUAG
Long non-coding RNA from Arachis duranensis, 1197 nucleotides. RefSeq lists it as uncharacterized. The transcript has 3 exons. The record is from RefSeq and is a predicted model, not a curated record. Lineage: Eukaryota; Viridiplantae; Streptophyta; Magnoliopsida; Fabales; Fabaceae.